GAUGAACGCUAGCGGCAGGCUUAACACAUGCAAGUCGAGGGGUAGAGGUUGCUUGCAACCUUGAGACCGGCGCACGGGUGCGUAACGCGUAUGCAACCUACCUUUUACAGAGGGAUAGCCCAGAGAAAUUUGGAUUAAUACCUCAUAGUAUAUAACCUUCGCAUGUUGGUUAUACUAAAGUUCCAACGGUAAAAGAUGGGCAUGCGUCCUAUUAGCUAGAUGGUAAGGUAACGGCUUACCAUGGCAACGAUAGGUAGGGGUCCUGAGAGGGAGAUCCCCCACACUGGUACUGAGACACGGUCCAGACUCCUACGGGAGGCAGCAGUGAGGAAUAUUGGACAAUGGGCGCAAGCCUGAUCCAGCCAUGCCGCGUGCAGGAAGAAGCAUCUAUGGUGUGUAAACUGCUUUUGUACAGGAAGAAACACCCCGACGUGUCGGGGCUUGACGGUACUGUAAGAAUAAGGAUCGGCUAACUCCGUGCCAGCCGCCGCAGUAA
Molecule: ribosomal RNA, 496 nt
Filed under: uncultured bacterium
Lineage: Bacteria
Description: partial 16S ribosomal RNA
Rfam family: Bacterial small subunit ribosomal RNA
Source: RNAcentral